RNAcentral lists this unclassified non-coding RNA (314 nucleotides) under Hevea brasiliensis (rubber tree). Lineage: Eukaryota; Viridiplantae; Streptophyta; Magnoliopsida; Malpighiales; Euphorbiaceae. The record is from RNAcentral.
AAGCAAGAUUCAUUAGAAUGAUCAUAGCCAGUUAAAGUACAAUACUGAUUAAGAAGGAAUUUAACUACCAACUGAGACUAAAACGAUGAACACUCCACGAGGUUGGCCACAGAUAUGUAUACUGAUUUUUUGGCAGAAGGACGGCCACGGAUGACAGGCCUGUAAAUUGCAAAUGUGGUAAGCACAAUUUCUAUCCAAUUCAGAAACAAAAAUAGAAAGCCAACUGAGCACCAACUAAUAUGUGAGGAGGCCUCAUCUUUGCAGCCAAAUGUGGAGAGAACUGUCUUACAGUUCUUGUUACCUUUUCACUGAAA